RNAcentral lists this ribosomal RNA (492 nucleotides) under uncultured bacterium. RNAcentral's name for it is "partial 16S ribosomal RNA". It matches the Rfam family "Bacterial small subunit ribosomal RNA", at positions 29 to 507 of the family's 1533-position model. The record is from RNAcentral.
AGUGAACGCUGGCGGUAGGCCUAACACAUGCAAGUCGAACGGCAGCACAGUAAGAGCUUGCUCUUACGGGUGGCGAGUGGCGGACGGGUGAGGAAUACAUCGGAAUCUACUUUUUCGUGGGGGAUAACGUAGGGAAACUUACGCUAAUACCGCAUACGACCUACGGGUGAAAUCAGGGGAUCUUCGGACCCUGCGCGAUUGAAUGAGCCGAUGUCGGAUUAGCUAGUUGGCGGGGUAAAGGCCCACCAAGGCGACGAUCCGUAGCUGGUCUGAGAGGAUGAUCAGCCACACUGGAACUGAGACACGGUCCAGACUCCUACGGGAGGCAGCAGUGGGGAAUAUUGGACAAUGGGCGCAAGCCUGAUCCAGCCAUACCGCGUGGGUGAAGAAGGCCUUCGGGUUGUAAAGCCCUUUUGUUGGGAAAGAAAAGCAGCAGGUUAAUACCCCGCUGUUCUGACGGUACCCAAAGAAUAAGCACCGGCUAACUUCGUG